This is a small nuclear RNA of Antechinus flavipes (yellow-footed antechinus), 106 nucleotides long. NCBI's taxonomy places the organism in Eukaryota, Metazoa, Chordata, Mammalia, Dasyuromorphia, Dasyuridae. The record is from RefSeq and is a predicted model, not a curated record.
GUGCUUGCACUUUGGCAGCACAUAAACUAAAAUUGGAAUGAUACAGCUAUUAGCAUGGCCCCUGUACAAGGAUGACAUGCAAAUAUUUGUGAAAAAAGUAUUUUUU